UCAAUUCACCAUUUUCUACAUUGCCUGUACCAAGUCAGGAAUAUGACAGUUGUCCAUUCGUUUGUUGUGUUUUAUAAUUUGAUUUUGCCAUUUGAUAAUGGACUUUCCGUUUUGUAUUUUCCUCGGAGUUCAGGAUUUUUGUGAUUUUUCUUUUGACACGAUCAUUAAAUACCAGCGAAAAAUAUCUUUAUUAAGUAAAGAAUUGUCGCAUAAAGAUUACACGGGAAAUGGCAAUGGUCACAAAGUCUAGUAGUCUGAUUAAUCAUUUUUC
RNAcentral lists this long non-coding RNA (271 nucleotides) under Mytilus galloprovincialis (Mediterranean mussel). The record is from RNAcentral. Lineage: Eukaryota; Metazoa; Mollusca; Bivalvia; Mytilida; Mytilidae.